UGGGGAAUUUUGGACAAUGGGCGAAAGCCUGAUCCAGCAAUGCCGCGUGUGUGAAGAAGGCCUUCGGGUUGUAAAGCACUUUUGUCCGGAAAGAAAUCCUUGGCUCUAAUACAGUCGGGGGAUGACGGUACCGGAAGAAUAAGCACCGGCUAACUACGUGCCAGCAGCCGCGGUAAUACGUAGGGUGCAAGCGUUAAUCGGAAUUACUGGGCGUAAAGCGUGCGCAGGCGGUUUGCUAAGACCGAUGUGAAAUCCCCGGGCUCAGCCUGGGAACUGCAUUGGUGACUGGCAGGCUAGAGUAUGGCAGAGGGGGGUAGAAUUCCACGUGUAGCAGUGAAAUGCGUAGAGAUGUGGAGGAAUACCGAUGGCGAAGGCAGCCCCCAUGGGCCAAUACUGACGCUCAUGCACGAAAGCGUGGGGAGCAAAACAGGAUUAGAUACCCCUGGUAGUCCACGCCCAUAAAACGAUGUCAACUAGUUGUUGGGGACUUCAUUUCCUUAGUAACGUAGCUAACGCGUGAAGUUGACCGCC
Molecule: ribosomal RNA, 531 nt
Filed under: uncultured bacterium
Lineage: Bacteria
Description: partial 16S ribosomal RNA
Rfam family: Bacterial small subunit ribosomal RNA
Source: RNAcentral